CAGCAGCCGCGGUAAUACCGGCGGCCCGAGUGGCGGUCACUAUUAUUGGGCUUAAAGCGUCCGUAGCCGGGUUGGGAAGUCCUCCGGGAAAUCUGGCCGCUUAACGGUCAGAAUGCCGGAGGAUACUCCCAGCCUAGGGAGCGGGAGAGGCCGAGGGGAUUCCCGGAGUAGGGGGGAAAUCCUAUAAUCCCGGGAGGGCCACCUGUGGCGAAGGCGCUCGGCUGGAACGCGUCCGACGAUGAGGGACGAAGGCCAGGGGAGCAAACCGGAUUAGAUACCCGGGUAGUCCUGGCUGUAAACGAUGCGGACUUUGUGUCGGACAAGCUAUGAGCUUGUCCGGUGCCGGAGGGAAACCGUUAAGUCCGCCGCCUGGGGAGUACGGCCGCAAGGCUGAAACUUAAAGGAAUUGGCGGG
RNAcentral lists this ribosomal RNA (414 nucleotides) under uncultured microorganism. RNAcentral describes it as "bacterial SSU rRNA". It matches the Rfam family "Archaeal small subunit ribosomal RNA", at positions 459 to 872 of the family's 1478-position model. The record is from RNAcentral.